Molecule: ribosomal RNA, 403 nt
Filed under: uncultured bacterium
Lineage: Bacteria
Description: partial 16S ribosomal RNA
Rfam family: Bacterial small subunit ribosomal RNA
Source: RNAcentral
AUUGAACGCUGGCGGCAGGCCUAACACAUGCAAGUCGAGCGAGCGGCGGACGGGUGAGUAAUGUAUGGGGACUGCCCGAUAGAGGGGGAUAACUACUGGAAACGGUGGCUAAUACCGCAUACUAUCGGAUAACCCAUAUGGGAUUAGAUAGUAGGUAAGGUAAUGGCUUACCUAGGCGACGAUCCCUAGCUGGUCUGAGAGGAUGAUCAGCCACACUGGGACUGAGACACGGACAAGACUCCUACGGAGGCAGCAGUGGGGAAUAUUGCACAAUGGGCGCAAACCUGAUGCAGCCAUACCGCGUGUAUGAAGAAGGCACUAGGGUUGUAAAGUACUUUCAGUCGGGAGGCGUUACCGAGAGAAAAAGCAACGGCUAACUCCGUGCCAGCCGCCGCGGUAAUAC